This 902-nucleotide ribosomal RNA is filed under the name uncultured marine bacterium. Its description in RNAcentral is "bacterial SSU rRNA". It matches the Rfam family "Bacterial small subunit ribosomal RNA", at positions 56 to 939 of the family's 1533-position model. The record is from RNAcentral.
UGCAAGUCGAGCGGAACGAGUUAUCUGAACCUUCGGGGGACGAUAACGGCGUCGAGCGGCGGACGGGUGAGUAAUGCCUAGGAAAUUGCCCCGAUGUGGGGGAUAACCAUUGGAAACGAUGGCUAAUACCGCAUAAUGCCUACGGGCCAAAGAGGGGGACCUUCGGGCCUCUCGCGUCAGGAUAUGCCUAGGUGGGAUUAGCUAGUUGGUGAGGUAAGGGCUCACCAAGGCGACGAUCCCUAGCUGGUCUGAGAGGAUGAUCAGCCACACUGGAACUGAGACACGGUCCAGACUCCUACGGGAGGCAGCAGUGGGGAAUAUUGCACAAUGGGCGCAAGCCUGAUGCAGCCAUGCCGCGUGUGUGAAGAAGGCCUUCGGGUUGUAAAGCACUUUCAGUCGUGAGGAAGGCGGUAUCGUUAAUAGCGAUAUUGUUUGACGUUAGCGACAGAAGAAGCACCGGCUAACUCCGUGCCAGCAGCCGCGGUAAUACGGAGGGUGCGAGCGUUAAUCGGAAUUACUGGGCGUAAAGCGCAUGCAGGUGGUUUGUUAAGUCGGAUGUGAAAGCCCGGGGCUCAACCUCGGAAUAGCAUUUGAAGCUGGCAGACUAGAGUACUGUAGAGGGGGGUAGAAUUUCAGGUGUAGCGGUGAAAUGCGUAGAGAUCUGAAGGAAUACCGGUGGCGAAGGCGGCCCCCUGGACAGAUACUGACACUCAGAUGCGAAAGCGUGGGGAGCAAACAGGAUUAGAUACCUGGUAGUCCACGCCGUAAACGAUGUCUACUUGGAGGUUGUGGCCUUGAGCCGUGGCUCUCGGAGCUAACGCGUUAAGUAGACCGCCUGGGGAGUACGGUCGCAAGAUUAAAACUCAAAUGAAUUGACGGGGGCCCGCACAAGCGGUGGAGCA